Molecule: long non-coding RNA, 211 nt
Filed under: Brassica napus (rape)
Lineage: Eukaryota; Viridiplantae; Streptophyta; Magnoliopsida; Brassicales; Brassicaceae
Description: long non-coding RNA (BNAP_LNC012783)
Source: RNAcentral
GUUUAGGGUUUAGGGUUUAGAGUUUAGGGUUUAGGGUUUAGAGUUUAAGGUUUAGGGUUUAGAAUUGAGAAAUGAGGUUUUGGGGAUAAGAUUUCAAAUUUUGAAAAAUAAAAAAAUUAAAAUUUUCAAAGGAUAAACUUAGAAAGGUGCUAUUUUGAUCAUUUUAGUUUUUGAGUGCUAUUUUUGUGAUAUAAACUUAAAAAGGUGUUAU